This 497-nucleotide ribosomal RNA is filed under the name uncultured bacterium. RNAcentral describes it as "partial 16S ribosomal RNA". It matches the Rfam family "Bacterial small subunit ribosomal RNA", at positions 28 to 507 of the family's 1533-position model. The record is from RNAcentral.
GAUGAACGCUGGCGGCGUGCCUAAUACAUGCAAGUCGAGCGAACAGACGAGGAGCUUGCUCCUCUGACGUUAGCGGCGGACGGGUGAGUAACACGUGGAUAACCUACCUAUAAGACUGGGAUAACUUCGGGAAACCGGAGCUAAUACCGGAUAAUAUAUUGAACCGCAUGGUUCAAUAGUGAAAGACGGUUUUGCUGUCACUUAUAGAUGGAUCCGCGCCGCAUUAGCUAGUUGGUAAGGUAACGGCUUACCAAGGCAACGAUGCGUAGCCGACCUGAGAGGGUGAUCGGCCACACUGGAACUGAGACACGGUCCAGACUCCUACGGGAGGCAGCAGUAGGGAAUCUUCCGCAAUGGGCGAAAGCCUGACGGAGCAACGCCGCGUGAGUGAUGAAGGUCUUCGGAUCGUAAAACUCUGUUAUUAGGGAAGCACAAAUGUGUAAGUAACUAUGCACGUCUUGACGGUACCUAAUCAGAAAGCCACGGCUAACUACGUG